RNAcentral lists this ribosomal RNA (724 nucleotides) under uncultured eukaryote. Its description in RNAcentral is "SSU rRNA". It matches the Rfam family "Eukaryotic small subunit ribosomal RNA", at positions 1027 to 1774 of the family's 1831-position model. The record is from RNAcentral.
UGACCGUAACGAUGCCACUAGCGAUCCGCCGGUGGUAAUUACGCCCCGGCGGGGAGCUUCCCGGAAACGAAAGUCUUCCGGUUCCGGGGGAAGUAUGGUUGCAAAGCUGAAACUUAAAGGAAUUGACGGAAGGGCACCACCAGGAGUGGAGCCUGCGGCUUAAUUUGACUCAACACGGGAAAACUCACCCGGCCCGGACACCGUAAGGAUUGACAGACUGAGAGCUCUUUCUUAAUUCGGUGGGUGGUGGUGCAUGGCCGUUCUUAGUUGGUGGAGCGACUUGUCUGGUUAAUUCCGAUAACGAACGAGACUCUGGCCUAUUAAAUAGUCGGUAUAUCCAGAAAAGUUUACCGUACUUCUUAGAGGGACAAACGGCGUCUAGCCGCGUGAAAUAGAGCAAUAACAGGUCUGUGAUGCCCUUAGAUGUCCGGGGCUGCACGCGCGCUACACUGAAGGAAUCAGUAUGCGCUUUAACCUAGUCCGGAAGGAUUGGGUAACCCGAGCAAAUUCUUUCGUGCUUGGGAUAGGGAAUUGCAAUUAUUUCCCUUAAACGAGGAAUUCCCAGUAAAUGCGGGUCAUAAGCCCGCGUUGAUUACGUCCCUGCCCUUUGUACACACCGCCCGUCGCUACUACCGAUUGGAUGACUUAGUGAGGUCUUAGGACCGACGUAAAGGAGCUUUCGCGAGUUCUUUUUCGUUGGAAAUUUGAUCGAACUACGUUAUCU